RNAcentral lists this ribosomal RNA (429 nucleotides) under bacterium. RNAcentral's name for it is "partial 16S ribosomal RNA". It matches the Rfam family "Bacterial small subunit ribosomal RNA", at positions 355 to 776 of the family's 1533-position model. The record is from RNAcentral. RNAcentral also lists the same sequence under 1 other name.
UGGGGAAUUUUGGACAAUGGGCGAAAGCCUGAUCCAGCAAUGCCGCGUGUGUGAAGAAGGCCUUCGGGUUGUAAAGCACUUUUGUCCGGAAAGAAAUGGCUCUGGUUAAUACCUGGGGUCGAUGACGGUACCGGAAGAAUAAGGACCGGCUAACUACGUGCCAGCAGCCGCGGUAAUACGUAGGGUCCAAGCGUUAAUCGGAAUUACUGGGCGUAAAGCGUGCGCAGGCGGUUGUGCAAGACCGAUGUGAAAUCCCCGGGCUUAACUUGGGAAUUGCAUUGGUGACUGCACGGCUAGAGUGUGUCAGAGGGGGGUAGAAUUCCACGUGUAGCAGUGAAAUGCGUAGAGAUGUGGAGGAAUACCGAUGGCGAAGGCAGCCCCCUGGGAUAACACUGACGCUCAUGCACGAAAGCGUGGGGAGCAAACAGG